UUGAUAAGUUUUGAGCCUAGAUGAUUUAGGUAUGCAUUGGUAUGAAUUUUGGGGUAUUUGGAGCUUCGGAAAUGGUCCAGAAGCAUCAAAAAACGCUGCCCCCAAAGUGCGCACGACGUGCUGCACUUCAGCACGUCGUGCUGGUGCGCGACGUGCACCAGAAGGGUGCACGACGUGCACCACAAGGGUGCACGACGUGCACCAGUGAAGGGCACGUCGUGCCCUUCAUGAAAAAUGAAGGGCACGAGGUGCCAAGCUAGCACGACGUGCCCUACUUCGAUCGUGACCUCCGGGGGACUUCCGGGAGCGAAAAUUGGCCUCUGAUGGCAUGAUAUGGGCGUAGAACUCUGACAAAUGUCUUAAAAUGAAUAUUAAUAAGACAUUAUAGCAAUGAACAUUAACAUGAUGAGUAAUAGAGAUAUGAAUAGAGAUCUAUAGAGAAAGAUACGUUUAGAACACGACGAUUAUAUUUCGUGCUUUUGUCGUGUUAGGUACCUAGUGCAGUUUUUAAGAACAAGAUUCUCUAAGUAUAUAUUUUAACGAUAGAAUCCUGUGAUAGAUGUGACGGACUAUCGAUCUACGAGUAUGACGAACCAAGAAGCUCGACGAGGAUUGACGGACCAGUCUCCUGGAGCUUACGUUUGGAUAUAAGGAAUAGCGAUCGUUGUGUUUAGAGUCGGAUCAGACAGACCGUCUUUGGUGUGCUGAGUACGAGUCCCCUUGGUGCUGCAGUAGUAUACGUAUGACGAGUCUUAGCAUAGAAUAGUCAGGUCUUAUAGGUUGUGUACAUAUUUAAUGUUUGUUUGAUGUGACGUCUUUUGGUUGUCAGUUUUGUAUUGAUCGAUAGACGGGCUAGUACGUACAAGUUACGGAAGUGAGAUGCCCACUAUGGUUGUAUCGAUGAUGUGAUAUAUAUGAUGUACGUUAUGAUUGUAAA
Long non-coding RNA from Mercurialis annua (annual mercury), 937 nucleotides. RefSeq lists it as uncharacterized. The record is from RefSeq and is a predicted model, not a curated record. NCBI's taxonomy places the organism in Eukaryota, Viridiplantae, Streptophyta, Magnoliopsida, Malpighiales, Euphorbiaceae. The transcript has 2 exons.